CCAGACUCCUACGGGAGGCAGCAGUGGGGGAUAUUGCACAAUGGGGGGAACCCUGAUGCAGCGACGCCGCGUGGGUGAAGAAGCGCCUCGGCGCGUAAAGCCCUGUCAGCAGGGAAGAAAAUGACGGUACCCGAAGAAGAAGCCCCGGCUAACUACGUGCCAGCAGCCGCGGUAAUACGUAGGGGGCAAGCGUUAUCCGGAUUUACUGGGUGUAAAGGGGGCGCAGACGGCGAUGCAAGCCAGGAGUGAAAGCCCGGGGCCCAACCCCGGGACUGCUCUUGGAACUGCGUGGCUGGAGUGCGGGAGGGGCAGGCGGAAUUCCUGGUGUAGCGGUGAAAUGCGUAGAUAUCAGGAGGAACACCGGUGGCGAAGGCGGCCUGCUGGACUGCAACUGACGUUGAGGCCCGAAAGCGUGGGGAGCAAACAGGAUUAGAUACCCGCGUA
This 444-nucleotide ribosomal RNA is filed under the name uncultured bacterium. RNAcentral describes it as "bacterial SSU rRNA". It matches the Rfam family "Bacterial small subunit ribosomal RNA", at positions 331 to 792 of the family's 1533-position model. The record is from RNAcentral.